CCGAGUGCGGGUCCUUUGGGCCCAACCUCCCAUCCGUGUCUAUUGUACCCUGUUGCUUCGGCGGGCCCGCCGCUUGUCGGCCGCCGGGGGGGCGCCUCUGCCCCCCGGGCCCGUGCCCGCCGGAGACCCCAACACGAACCCUGUCUGAAAGCGUGCAGUCUGAGUCGAUUGUUUGCAAUCAGUUA
Molecule: unclassified non-coding RNA, 185 nt
Filed under: soil metagenome
Description: partial internal transcribed spacer 1
Source: RNAcentral